ACUUAAAUAGCUUAUCUCUUAAAGCAUUUCUCUGAAGAAGAAAAGAAGAAAUCUCUUUAAGUA
RNAcentral lists this transfer RNA (63 nucleotides) under Buthus occitanus (common European scorpion). RNAcentral describes it as "tRNA-Phe". It matches the Rfam family "tRNA". Rfam says of the family: Transfer RNA (tRNA) molecules are approximately 80 nucleotides in length. Their secondary structure includes four short double-helical elements and three loops (D, anti-codon, and T loops). Lineage: Eukaryota; Metazoa; Arthropoda; Arachnida; Scorpiones; Buthidae. The record is from RNAcentral.